RNA transcript from Bombyx mori (domestic silkworm), 5740 nucleotides. RefSeq lists it as uncharacterized. Lineage: Eukaryota; Metazoa; Arthropoda; Insecta; Lepidoptera; Bombycidae. The record is from RefSeq and is a predicted model, not a curated record. The transcript is spliced from 11 exons.
UUACACGCUUUAUUAAUUGAGACCACAGACAGAACACUGUUUGAGACAUUCGGUAAAUUAAUGACAGAAAAAACUACGAAACUACGAACCACUACGAACUACACACUACACACGAAAAUCUAAGAGCUACAGUAAUUACAUGCGGUACCUACACAUUUGUUAAAAAUAAAUGAAAAGAUAGGAAAUUUGUAGAUUAAUUUUUGGUAAUUCUAUUCCUAUUUCGUCAUGUAUGGACGUAGCCGAUCUCGUUCCCCGGUCCGCUCCAAGAAUCUAUCUAAACAAAAUGAUAUUGUGCGCCGUCGUAAUGACAAUGUUAUGGACUGCAGGGUAUUAUACAUAAAACCUAUACCUAAGUUUUGGAAUGCUGAAAAAGUAAAGAGUUUUAUCCAAGAUAAAUGCAAAUCAAGGACAAUACCAGAAAAUAUAAAAUUUGUGUUACUUUUCAUAGAAGACAACGGUGACCCUUCAUGUCUGGUCAAAUUUGCAAAUUCUUACAUAUGCAAUUUGGCUUUGAUGGAGCUAGAAAAUGUGGAAAUUGAUGGAAAAAGACUUUUCAUAAAUUUGGACACUGAUAAUCUAUUCAACAAGAAAAGGAAUAUGAACAGAAACAUCUUUAAACAUUCGAAACAGAGAACUCAGUCAAGCCAGAAAACGCAAGAUUACCAAAAUCCGGUACAGCAAGCCGAGCAAUCGCACCAGUCGCAGCCGCAAAUGAACGCGAACACCGCAACGGAGCAAACGAGCGACGCCCAAAGCUCGAAACAUGAAACAUACGGACUCAGUUUGAACUUUUUGGAGUCUUUGAACAUAAAGCUGCCGUUACUAAACAAGAUCUUCAUUGGGAACCUGGACGUCUUGGUUACGGAGUCGAAGCUGCGCGAGGUGUUCGGCUACUGCGGACAAAUAGUCAGCUGCUCGAUAAUAGUCAAGGAUGACAAGCUGUCUCGGUACAUGGCCAAAAUUGAAUACGACCACCCGGUGGAGGCUGUGCAGGCAAUCGCGAUGCUAAACAGACAAGAGCUUUACAACAAACGGAUGUUGGUCCAGAUGGACACCGCGCCGCGUCCGUUCCCAAACAACCUUCCGAACGGUCUGGGCGGCUUCGGCCCGGGCCUGGGCGUCGACGGCGAACCCCUCAGGGGCGUAAGAGUCCACCUCGAGAUGCGGCCCAUCAAGCAACUCCUCGAAAACUUGAAGGAAGACAUACAAAAGCAGAAUCAGGUUAACGAUCUGAACAAAUACAAAGAGAUGCAGAAUGCAAACAGUGGCUUCGAGGCCGUCGUCCAGCAGCAGGUCGCGCCGGUCCUCAACCAAGCUCAGAUACCGGUCAUGGUGCAGCCGUUCACGAACCAGACCUUCGUUGCCGUGCCCCAAAUGAAGACCAGCGCCGCUCAGAUGCAGGCGGCCACUGAAUACGGCCUGGCCAUGAUGAACGCCCAGCAAGUGUCGCGCUGGGACCAGACCAGCGCGCAGUGGAACGUCAUCCAAACUAAGCAGUUCGAAGACACCUCGGCACUCGAUGGUAACUACAGCAGGCAGGCGGUCGACGAUAAGCGAGACAGCAGGGCCGCCCCCUCCGCGCAGUCCGUACACGCAUUUGAAUCUGACAACACCAAGCAAUCGACCAGCAUGGUGGUCUUUAGUUAUCUGCCUCCGAGCGUGGACCUCCAGGCCCUCAGCAACAAGAUGCGGGAGGUCGGCGAGGUGAAGUUCGUGGAUGUGCUGGGCAUGGGUCGGGCGAUCGUCAGCUUCUUCAACGUGCGCGACGCCGAGCGUUGUGUCAAAUUCUUUGACGGCUCCAAAGUGGACGGACAGACUAUUGAAGUGAAGUACUUCUGAAGAUACGGUGAGUCAACUUAAUUACGAAUUUUAAUUUAAGAUUUUCGGUUUCUCUCUCGCCUGUAGAUGUAUUUGAUAUGAAAGCUGUAUUAGUGUUGCCAACGUUUUGUUAAUUCGUAAGGUACUAAAUUAAGAAAACAAUCAAAAACACGUCUAAUAGUAAUAGUGAACAAAAGAAAAAUUCUGUAGGUAAGCCUCAAAACUGAAAUGUAUGUAUAUGAAAAAACGUAUUUGACAUAAUAUGCGACAUGUGCCAUUUUCGAAAUUGCAUAUUCAAUUAGGUAUUGUUUGUUCGUGUUUUCCACUAGAGUUGUCGACUGUAGAUUUAACAAAUUUGUCACCGGAACAUGGCCUGACUUAACUAUUCACAUAUUAUAAUAUAUUAAUUUAAAGUCAUCGUGGCCUAAAGGACAAGACGCCCGGUGCAUUCGUAUCGAGUGAUGCGACCGUGCCAAUGUUCCAAUACCGCAAACAGGUAAAAAAAAGCCAUUGAAAUACGUACUUGACAAAUGUUCACGAAUGACCACCACGGUAUUACUCCCGUGUAAUGUGCCUAAUUUAAACCCGAAAAAAAAAUUGUUUGCGUAAUUAUUGGUGGUAGGACGUCUUGAGAGUCCGCGCGGGUAGGUCCACACUGCCUAUUUCUGCCGUGAAGCAGUAAUGCGUUUUGGUUUGAAGGGUGAGGCAGCCGUUGUAUUAUGAAACUAACACUAGGUAGACCGUGAGUUCGUCCAUAUAUUUAAGCAAUAAAAAAAAAACAGAAUAGACAGCGAAGACAUCAGCUUGGAAGAUAAUUUUCUUUGUCUUCGUAACAUUUCUACGAAUUUUGAUAACCAACGAAGAUAAAUCGCCUUCGUCACCACAAUCGCCAGCCAUCUCCUGCAUCAAUACACAGAAAAUGUCCGUUACUCCACAAAUCAGUGUGGCGGCCUCGUCCUGAACAACUCACCUGGGUGUUUGUUUCUACGAAAUACCCUCACCACUUCGCGAUGCCAAUACACAUAGCAGCUUGAAAUAUCUCCGGCGCGUCAGCUCUGAAAGACGUGGCAUACUCGCGGCAAUUAACGCAACAUUCUCGCUCGAUAUCAACACGCGGACUUGAAGAAGACGAAGAUUGGAAACACGCUAAGCCUGGAUUUGUUCAAACUAUCUAACUGUGCCAAGCCAAAUGGCAGUUUGCCGUUGCAAUUUUUAAAUGACCGUGCCAGGCGUCUUGGAGAGCGUUGAUGUAUCAUAGUUCUCCUGUUCUUUGCUUGACAGAGCACAAUAAGAAUUCGGUCUUCGUUUUAAAUGGAGCAUCAUUCUUAAUGUCUUCGUCAUCAGAGAAUUUAUUGUCUACCACGUGAUGCGUUUCACCCAAGGAGGCAAAAACAUAGAACUCGUAAAGAGAGCAUCCCUUAUACCUAACACUAUAUUAACUAUGCUUUAUGUAUUUAUUCAUCGGAGAGUUACCACUGUAUUAUUUCAUGACUGGCCUUGGUUUUAUUUUGGUUCGCUGGUUUACUUGUGUUUAUCAGCAUCAUUAAGAACCUAUUUCAGUCCACUAUUGGACUUAGGCCUCUAGCGACACACCACGCAACCGGAUACUUGGCCUGUGUUUGUUUCUUUAUUAUUGAUGUUUCAAUAGAUCUUUGAUUUGAAAUGUUAUGAUGCCUCCAUUUGCUUCUGGUGACUUUUAUUAUUAGCUUACUAACUUGAGCGUAUCGACGUGUGUGUGACGAUGUGUUUUUGUCGGCUCUAUUCAGCCAUAGGACACAUUUAGUGAAGGCCAACAAUAUAUCGCAAGUACGGCGAAUAAUAAGCAAUAGGAAUAUCGAUAGUAGGCAGUUUUUGGAUUCAAAUACUUUGGGCAUUGUGCCCAAAAAGGAUUAUAGUUGCGUGUGUAUGUGUCUUGUAGACAGUGAUUAUAAUAAAUGUUGGUUCAGUCAUCUAUUAUUAGUCUGGUAAUUUUUGGGGCUCUUCGAAACAAUUGACAUCAGUUUUAUAAGCAACAUAAAAUUUAAUAUAUGUCUUGCAUUGUAAAAAGUCUGACACGAUCUUUCGUUGACCAAGCUUUUUCCCUCUGGAUUUUAUCAUCCGACAGUAAAAAAUGUGAACUGAGUGUUUUCCAUGGGUUAUUUUAUCCCAUCGUUUUAUCAUUACGUAAUAUCGCAAACGUAUAAUUACGGAAUCUACGUUGACAAUUGUCAGGGUUCGCCCGUAAUGCGUAUGAGAGUAUGCGAAUACUCUCGACUCAUUUCAACGUUACAUUACAUUUAUAUGACAAUAGUGCUUUGCCAACUUUACCUAACGACUGCGACUGUUGCCGCUUUAUUUAGAGUAAAAGUUUCAGAAUCACUGAGUUGUGAAAAAGUCGUCUGACUUUUAUUAUUAUCCUAGAAAUAGAAUAUAUUCGCUAUUACCACAGUGGAAUAAAAAAUAAUAAUAGGGGUGUGACUGUGUUAUGGACACGGCCGUUUGUUGUACGUGAAUACGUCUCGUAACGGGUAAUACAGCCCGAUGUCGAUACAGAAGCGAUUUCAUCAUCCAUCUGCGUAAUUUCAACCGUCCCAGCUGCAGAUGUACUGGCACCGUCGUUGAUCCGCUCGGCCGCAUUCAUUACUUUACGUUGCCGGCACUGCUUGACUCGAUCAUAUGGUGUUUUAUUUGUACCAUUCGAUUGCUGUUGAGAUGCCCUUUCCAACCGUAUACGAUCUCUGUAUUUCGAUUUGGCUUUUCGACGCUUAUAGGCCGACAUUAUAUAUUUUUUGAUAUUUUUAUUUUAUUUGAACACCUUAUUAUAUUCACAGUUACAAUUUUACACUAAUGUUAUAUAUAUAAUUUAUUAGUUAUAUCGAUAGAUUUUGACGAGAGCUGACGAUUGAAACUUGAAUGAACGUCGUAGCUUCACCGAGUCGAAAGUUAUUCUAAAUGGAAAUCUCGAUACGCAGCAAAAUGACCUUCAAAAUGGCGGGGCUGCCCCCUCCCCCGCGCGCGAUGUGUUACAGUCCUUACUUAGCGUAAUAAAUUCUUUGAUUCUUUAGCUAUCCAGUGGUUUAACUGAAAUUUGGAUGGAGAUGAUAGAUAUGUAGCUACAACACUAAACUGUACCCCCAUUUUGUUAUCAUUCCUUUUUUUGGAUUGCGUCCCUAUGGAAGUAAUUUUAAAGACGUAUUCACGUUUCAUUAUAAAGUACGCUAAAUACUAAAAUUACCUCAAAACGGAUGGGUAAUGUAAUGUUACAAUAAUAGGAGGGUAUCCAAAUAAUAUAAUACUUGUUAGGUACCAUCUCAAUUAUCAGAGAUGAGGAAUCCGUUUUAAAGUACUAAAAACUACGUGGGCUAGACCGAACCGUGGUGGCUUGUGUCAGUCUCCGUGAUGGAGGUUUUCACCAUAAGCCGUAGUAGUGUUUGCCAGCCGAAGAACGUGAAGUUAAUGCCGAGAUUCGACGCUUUUUAUGAGACCAUCAUCAUUUGUCGCAACAUUAUAACCUUAUCUGGUGAUUGAUCAGAAAUAUAAAGUUAACGAAUGCUUCGCUCAGAAUGGAUCAUUGUUCAUAUAAAGUUUGCGCUUACUACAAAAAUAUUGGUCAGGAAAAAUCUUGAGUGACCUCAAGACUUGAUAUGCGUUACCUGUAGAUAAGCGUUGAAGAAAUUGAAUGUGAUUCUACAUCGUGUAUCUCCAAUGAGUACUACAGUGAUGUUCUGAUAUUUUUAUUGAUUCUUCUGCUGGUUGUAAUAUACGAGCAAGGCCGAAGAUACAAUCGUCUUAUUUUUUUUUUGUACUAACUUCAAAAUAUUUCAUUGCAGUUAUGCCGUGGCGGACAGAAGAUAAUAUUAAUGGUAUGGUAGGUUGCAAAAGCUCGAUAAAACUUGUCACAUUUUUCUUGCACGAUCACUUGCACAUUAAAUGAUGAAAUUAA